UUUUUUUUUUUUUUUUUUUGUCUUUUUUGCCUUUUCUAGGGCUACUCCUGUGGCGUAUGAAGGUUCCCAGGCUAGGGAUCUAAUCAGACCUCUUUAUUGAUGAUUGGGAGACCUAGACUAGUCCACCUAGGUCUUCAUAUGGAAAUAAAAAGUGGGUCUCCAUAAUUAAUGAUUUUAAAAAGAACAAAGAAUGCAGGAACAAAUGACUUUUAUUAUGCAACGGAAGUAACCAUAGCAAAGAUAAUAAAUUAGGCACAAAAAUACCCAGUUUGUUUCAAAGGUUAAUCUUAGCCUAAAUCACAUUCUUGAGCUGUUGUGCAGAAUCCAAACCCCCUGAAGCUCUCAACCACCUACUUGGAGCCUCAGAAAUAAUGAUGUUUACCUUUGUUGACCCUCAUGACUUCAGUCAACUGGGUGCCUUGAUUUUUUUCAACCUAGAAUGACAUUUGCUUCAUCUUCAUGCUAAAAUCUUCACCCCAAGGGUGAGGACUGCUGCCAUUUUUGAACAUGGGAAGUAUGUUUGAGCAUGUUUUUACACUGUGCAAGUGCAUCUAGAACUCCACCUCGAUGUAGAAGAUCACUUGUCUUUUCAUGAAUAUGUAAGGAAACUUAGCCUAAAACUUCCCUGGUCUUGCUGUUCAGGAUGACAGUGCUUUGAGAAGAAUCUCCCUAUCUUUUUAUUUGUCACAAAUGAAAAAUCUUCUGCUGUAAUUGAAAGUACUUUGUGUGUUCAUUGGCCACGCACCCUAAGUAAUGGACCUAUUGAGUCUGGUAACAGGUUGGCUGGACAUUCUUCUGAACCAGUACAUGUUUGCUAAUAUCAGCUGGACUCAUACAGUGAAUGAUCUGGCUAGUUUAGGCUGGCUUUGCAGAGGCAAAGUCUUGACUAUGCUAAAAGUAAACUCUGAAACUUUAGCAAACUAAGUGUUGGGGAGAUGGCUUGGAUCAUCCGUGUCAGAAAAUGAGACACAUGAACAUGGGGAGGUCUCGACAAGGCUCUUUGCUUCUGCAGAAGGGCGUGGGUACUCAAAAAGUGCAUGCAAAGAAGAAAAGACCCUACCUAUUUAUCCCUAAUGCACUGAUGUACCUGUUCGCUUCCCAUUGGUCAGGUCAGGGUGCACAUUCUUCUCGGUUGGCUAAUUUGAAACAAAUUGUUACUGGGAGAAGAGGGAAAGAGGAGGGGGUCACAAGAAGGCAUUUCAGCUGAAACCAGAGCAAAAUGGAGUAACCAAGAUUUCCUUUGAUAGAAAAGACAUGUUACUUUCCACAAUUCCCACCUUUCAUUUUUUUAUCAAAUAUUUUUUUAUCAGAUUCUUUGAGCAUGAUUUGCCUAAGAAAGUUGCCUUUGCCUGCUGUCAUUUUAGACACGAGAAGUUGAUGUUUUCAUUUGUCUGCUGUACAGUUCUUGGGGGCUGACUCACAGAACUUUUGACCUCAGGGAAUAGCAGUGACAAAGUCUGACUGGACCCAUUAGUUCAAGCUGUUUUGUCCUGGAAGAGGGCCAUCACACAUUCAAGGCCCUGUGGGUUUGAUGACCACCCCAGAGAAAAGAGAACUACUUGGGCCUCUGGUCUCCCUGUGGCACAAGCAUAACAGCUGCCUUUGUAUAAUGUGUCCUCAGAAUAUUUAAUCCAUUUAAACCAGGCAUUUGCAUCCCCCUAUCCUGUUUUUAUACUCACAGUCAGCCUUCCUCCAAAGGUGAGUUUUCUGUUUCCUUCAGUUAAUAGGGCAGUGGUGGCUACCGACUGUAUGUACUCAGCCAUCCUCUGGUGACAGGGUCCAGGAGGCAAGAGAGGAAGGCCACCAGCUGGUGUUUCUAUGUGAGGACAUCUAGAGCCAUUCCCUGGUCCAUGCUUACAAAUAAAUGAAAAGGUUUUUCAAAAGAAUGGUAGAGCCAGAAGAGGGGCACCUAUCAGCACCUCUCUUAAAUCCCUAAAUUGUUGUACCUCCUCCUGGCUCCAUAGUCAGAUAUCAGGGUCUUCCUCUAUAAGCUUGGAAAUAGUCCUUUUAUAUUAUGUCCUUUUUAGUAUGUAUGGUCCCCUUGUUGCAGGUUUUGGGGCAUCUAAUCUUUAUACAAAAAUAGAUGACUCAGAUAAACUUUAGAAACAAGCUUAGAAUGUUCUUUUUAGAAGCUCAGUUAAACUUUGCAGCAAUAUAACAUAAUAGCAAAAACUAUCUAGGAAGUAAGUCUUAGUGAUACUGACCACAAUUAAAAGAAUGAGAUUAACAGAUUUAGCAAGUUUUCAUUGAAACAUCUCUUUCCUUCUAAAAUUACUCUCACUUUUAUCAAAUAUUAGCCAAACCAAGACUAAUUUAUUUGCCAAUUAAGUCUGGUGUCAACAAUCUUGGCCUGAUGAUUUACAUGAAUAAAAUUGAUCAUGUAGGUUUUUUUUUUAAUUGGUUUUGUUAGAAAUUUAGGAGGAAUCUUUUUGUAAAUCAUAUAAAAUUGGAUUGUGAUGAUCAUUGUACAGCUAUAAAUGUAAUAAAUUCAUUGAGUAAUAAAAAAUGAAAAAUAAAUUUUAAUUGAGGAAAAAAAAGAACUUUAUGAGGAAUCUUAGACUAAGCUUUUAAAAGGCACCUCAGGGCUAGGAAAGUCAUGCCAAGGAUUUGUCUUAAAGAUUUUUAUCUUAAAGAUUUUGGUGAAUUCCUUCCCUUUUAAAAACCCAGAUACCUUGAGGUUUUUACAGGCUACAUAAAGGUGGCCUUCCUAAUUAUCUGAUAAAGCUUCUGGGAAGCUGAGAGUUUCCAUUCUCUGAAGAAAUCAGGUAAAGAAGAGAGAAAUGUUUCAGUUCUGCUUACAAAGGUAUAAUUGACCAAAUUGCUUGUUGUGGAGAAUUUCUUUAUACCUGGAAAACACAGAUUAAAAGCCAUUAUUAUUUUAAACAGAAACCAUAAAAUUAUAAUCAUAUUCACCAGUUCACACAGUCCAAUGUAACUAAUCCUUUUUGUUUUAACUCUUUAUGAAAUCAUCAAUUUCCCUUUUAGAUUUUUUUUUUAAUUUCUUACUCAGCUUAUCAUUAAGGUAUGGAAGUCAGAAACUUGUAUUUCUUUAAAAAAAAAGUUCUUUCUAUAGAUCUUCUAGAAAAGGAAACAUUUUUGCCAAGGUAUUGGAGUAAAGCCAUUAACUAACAGUGACAAAAGCCUUAGGCACAUUUUAAAUCUGAUUGCAAUGAAACUUGGUAACUGUUGUGACAUAUAACAAUUUGAAAUAACUAGGAAAAAAAAGAAUUAUAACAUAGUACCAAUACAUAUCCAAAUUUCAGAAACUGUAAAAGUUCUAGAAUAUCUAUAUUAAAAACAUCUAUUCAUCUAUAUAAUGUGAAGUUUAUCACUCAUUUGGUAAUAUUAUCUAUGUAGUUUAACAUUUCAAAUAAUUCUAGUAAGUGUAACUUUUUUUUGAAUGCCUCAAGGGUCUAGUGAGGCAUUUUAAAGUUAUCUGAGUUAAAAGCACUUUAAUUAGAAUUUGAUAGUGUUUAUAAAUAAAUAAUUUUUUGUUUGUUUAAUUUGGUCAGAUAGAAUCAUAGGUUGCUGUGGAUAAUACUUUUUUUCUUAACCAAAGUUACAAGCAGUCUCAAAGGCAAAUACAGCAGAUCACUUAAAAGAACAUAAUAUAAUCUGUUGUCAAAGUAGCAUUCCAAGGAAACUUUGUUCUAACACUGUAUAACCCUUCUCUCAAUGUCUACUUCCCACAAACCUUUCAGCACUUUCUGUAUCCAUUAGUUUGUCCCCUAUUUGUCAUUUAAAACAAGCUAGAAGGCAGACUUACUCUUCUUUUCCCUUGAUAAAGUAGAAUUUCAUUCCUCAUUCCUUCUCAUAUAUACAUUUUAUUUCUCUCUUAGUAAAUUCUCUAAUGUUUUAUUUUUCCAAUCAUCUAUUUUUUUUAACUUAUUAUUUUGUCUCUUGAGGGCCACACCUGUGGCAUAUGGAGGUUCCCAGGCUAGGGGUCCAAUCAGAGGUACAGCUGCCAGCCUACACCACAGCCACAGCAA
Molecule: long non-coding RNA, 3989 nt
Filed under: Sus scrofa (pig)
Lineage: Eukaryota; Metazoa; Chordata; Mammalia; Artiodactyla; Suidae
Description: lncRNA (ENSSSCG00000052261.1)
Source: RNAcentral